GAACUAAAUUAUAAUUAAGCUUCUAACUUAAUUUAUAGCAAAUAAAUUGUUAUUAGUUUU
RNAcentral lists this transfer RNA (60 nucleotides) under Pselaphinae sp. 10 EF-2015. Its description in RNAcentral is "tRNA-Ser". Lineage: Eukaryota; Metazoa; Arthropoda; Insecta; Coleoptera; Staphylinidae. The record is from RNAcentral.